CUGCCCUGCAAAUCUGGGUCAUUGCGGUCAGUUGCAUGGUUGUUGUUGAUUUCUGCACUGCGCCAAGACACCUGGCUGAGAUGAUGGAUGCAGCAGCCACUGUUUGAAGCUCUGCUUGCCACACGGUGGAGGAAAAAAGUUCUUGACCUUGUUGGACCAACAAUUAAUUGCUUCUGCCUGGAAUCAGCUUUGGAAAUGACAUCAUUUCUGCUCCGACUUAUUGGCCAGAAUUAAUGUCGUGGUCCCACCCAACCUCAAAAGGGACAAAAAGUGCCAUCCUACCAUGGGCCUGGACGGCAGGAGAGUUUGGAAACAUUUGGCAAAUAGCACUGCUGACUCCCAGAGCUGACAUUUUCCAUAAAAUGGACUGACUUUUCUUAUUUCCUAAAUAGCCAUUUCUACCAGUUGUUUUGGCCUUCACAAAAAUGCAUUAUCAACAGCAGGACAUGGCAAUAACAACUAUAGCUAAAGCACAGUCUUUUUUGGAAACCUUUCAGUGACAUCUCUGUCCAUAAAUAAGGAUUCUUUGGAGGAUCUUAGUUCCCUGACCAGAGAUUGGACCCGGGCCCCCUGCAGUGGAAGCGUGGAGUUCUAACUACUGGACCACCAGGGAAUUCCCUCCAGCAGGAAGCUGCCCAGAGGAUAAUUCCCUGCCCACAGCAUCUCACUGAGGGAGCAGACAUACACAAUCAAGUCUGCACCGCAAGACCAAGCCACACAUAGCUGAAUGGACCAAUGGUGGGUACUGGAUCCAAGGGCAGCCAAUCCACAGGCUGAAUGUAAAUGAAGAGGCUGGCCAAGGCAAAGGAGUACCCAAUCAGAGACAAUGGUGAUCAGCUGGACCAAGCAGACUCCCUCUCAGGAAUCUGAAUUAUGACAUAUGGGGAGAGAAUAAGUCAGCGGCUAGUGGGUGGAUGGACAUGUGAAGAUACCACAAAAGGAAAUAGUGAGGAAAGUAUCAAAGUGGCUGAGGGGGAUUGUGGGGCUGGGGCAGGAGACAACAGGGUCCACCCAACACCUGACAGUAUUCCAUCUCCAUGAAGCCGGCGGCUGUUGUGGGUUCCCGGAGAGAGUUUUCGCUCCCUCCUCCCACAUGUAACCUUACAACUCCAUUCUUGAAACAGCCUGAAGGAGAUACUUUGCAACCUUACAAUCCCCCAAAUCUAACUAGUAUUAAUGCACGGUCCAAAAUUU
Balaenoptera ricei (Rice's whale) is the source of this 1194-nucleotide long non-coding RNA. RefSeq lists it as uncharacterized. The record is from RefSeq and is a predicted model, not a curated record. NCBI's taxonomy places the organism in Eukaryota, Metazoa, Chordata, Mammalia, Artiodactyla, Balaenopteridae. The transcript has 4 exons.